This 2211-nucleotide small RNA is filed under the name Pongo abelii (Sumatran orangutan). RNAcentral describes it as "retained intron". The record is from RNAcentral. Lineage: Eukaryota; Metazoa; Chordata; Mammalia; Primates; Hominidae.
CAAAUGAAACCCUCACACCCAGGACCAUGUGAAGAUGAAUUACUGUGUUCCACUCAUACAUGGCCAGCACACAGUAGGUGCCCAAUGUGUGCAUGCUCUUGUUAUCAUCAGGUCCACCCUCCUGUCUCCAUCUGCACUACCUCCUCACUUGCUCUCCAUCUCCUCAGGAAUUUUAGAACCACUCAGCUUGUCCUCCUGCUCCUCCCAGCCCUGGGCCUUACCUGGCAUGACCUCUACACAGUCUCAGCAGCUUCCCCUUUUCCCAGAAGCCUCCCUAGAGAGAUCCCCUACCUGUUGUGAGGCAGAAAAGAGAAGAAUAGGAGAGGAAAGAGUCGCAGUGCUUCCCCUACCUGGGGAAGAUGUCUGGGGCCCCAUCCCCUUCCGUCCCUAUCCCCCGUCCUGACUUCCCAAGCAGAAUAUGCCUUUUGCAUAUCACUGCGCGGGGAGGGGCAUCCUCAGGGGACAGGAGCUGCCUGAGAGUUGGAAUCUGUCUCAGCUCAAUCCCAGGAGGCUCUUGGCACACUCUAGUGCUGUGGCCACCUGUGAUGUGGCCCCCAUGUGUCCUUUCAGGGACAGCUGCCAGCGAGGCUGGAGGCUGCUGUAUAUCGUGACUGCCUACCACAGCUGCUCUGAGGUCCUCCACCCACACCUCACUCGCUUCCUCCAAGACAUGAGCCGGACCCCAGGCCUGCCCUUUCAGGGGAUCGCCAAGGCCUGUGAGCAGAACCUGCAGAAAACCUUGCGCUUUGGAGGUCGUCUGGAGCUCCCCAGCAGCAUAGAGCUUCGGGCCAUGUUGGCAGGCCGCAGUUCCAAGAGGCAACUCUUUCUUCUUCCUGGAGGCCUUGAACGCCAUCUCAAAAUCAAAACAUGCACUGUGGCCCUGGACGUGGUGGAAGAGAUAUGUGCUGAGAUGGCUCUGACACGCCCUGAGGCCUUCAAUGAAUAUGUUAUCUUCGUUGUCACCAACCGGGGUGAGUGCCAGGAAGACUGAGCAUGCUGGGCCCAUUCCCAUCCCCGGGCCUUGUGCCAUGUGGGGCCCUCCACCCAGAUUUUAGGGCCCAAGUCAGGUGCCACUUCCUCCAGGAAGCCCCUUGAACCCUAUGUGGAAGGAUCUCUCCCUUUAUCUGUCCCUUUCUGCUUUGCUUAGUUUGCCUCACCUUAUGAUGAGGGCCCUCUCUCAUCCCUCCCUUUGUCCCUCAGGGGAUGCUCAAUGUGAGGACACAGGCUGUGUCCUCGAGGAGAUUACAUCCUGGGAAGGUUUCCAUUAAUAGCGCUGCACUCCUGGAACCUAUAGAUGCAAGCCUUCUUUCUUGCCUUUCAUGCCUUAAUAAUAGCCAGAGAAGCCCCCCCCGAGGUGUCACUAGCCCCUCUCGAGGGCUCCUGGGACCCUAGGUGACCAUCAUGCAUCCCAAAGCCCCUUCCAUCUGCUGCCUGCCCACUCUAGAUCAUGGUCUUGCCUCCUGUCACCAGCUGGUCAGCUCCAGCAACCCCCAGCCAGCUCUCCCUACCGCUGCCUCAGCCCUCAGCCAUGUGCCAUCAGCCCUGCCUGCCCAAGUCCAGCUAAGACAUUAGGGGAGAAUGGCAGGUAACAAAACGGUCCUAAUAACUGAUAUUUAUUGAACGGAUGCUGUGCCCCAGGUACAAUUCAGAGCAUUUCAGGCUGGGUGUGGUGGCUCAUGCCUGUAAUCCCAGCACUUUGGGAGGCUGAGGCAGGUGGAUCUCUUGAGGCCAGGAGUUCCAGAGCAGCCUGGCCAACAUGGCGAAGACCCAUCUCUACUAAAAAUUAGCCAACCAUGGUAGUGCGCACCUGUAAUUCCAGCUACUCAGGAGGCUGAGGCACAAUAAUCACUUGAACCUUGGAGGCGGAGGUUGUAGUGAGCCAUGAUCAUGCCACUGUACUCCAACCUAGGUGAUGGAGUGAGACUCUAUCUCAAAAAAAAAAAAAAAAAAAAAAAAGCCAGGCGUGGUGGCUCACACCUGUAAUCCCAGCACUUUGAGAGGCCGAGGCGGGUGGAUCACCUAAGGUCGGGAGUUCGAGACCAGCCUGAGCAACAUGGAGAAACUCCGUCUCUACUAAAAAUACAGAAUUAGCCAGGCAUGGUGAUGUUUGCCUGCUACUCGGGAGGGUGAGGCAGGAGGUUGCAGUGAGCUGAGAUCAUGCCAUUGCACUCCAGCCUGGGCAACAAGAGCGAAACUCCAUCUCAAAAAAAA